CUUGAUAUACCGCAUUCCACACAGCUAAUGCUGUCAGAUUUUAGAAGCUACGCAGAGUUGUCCUUGUUAGAAUUUGGAUGAGAGACCACCAGGGAACACUAGAGAUAGACAAGU
Molecule: ribosomal RNA, 114 nt
Filed under: Pogona vitticeps (central bearded dragon)
Lineage: Eukaryota; Metazoa; Chordata; Lepidosauria; Squamata; Agamidae
Source: RNAcentral